Molecule: long non-coding RNA, 1047 nt
Organism: Halichondria panicea
Lineage: Eukaryota; Metazoa; Porifera; Demospongiae; Suberitida; Halichondriidae
Exons: 4
Source: RefSeq, a predicted model, not a curated record
CCUGUGGCCACCCUGUUACACCAUACAGAGGCAGUGUGGAUAUCAAUGGUGGAACACCACCCUUUCCACUACGUUCACAGGUCACCUAUCGCUGUGACCAGAGACUGUUCCCCCUUGAUGUGAGGACCAACACAUGCACUGAUGUGGGUGGUAGGGGAGAGUGGGUGGAGAAUCCUGGGAGCUUGGUGUGUAGAGAGAGACCAGUGAAUUGCUCUCUACCUGAGGAGCCAUCCAACGGCACUAUAGUCGACUAUGAGAGGUUGAAUGAGACAGUGUUGGAGGGAACAAUGCUGACUUACCAGUGUGACAAUGGACUCUCACUGACUGGACCCAACACCAUCUAAUGCUGGAAUCUGGAGCACUGAGCCUGAGGAAAUCAUGUGUGUGCCGCAAACUUACGCUCCAUCUGCAGGUGUUUCCAUAAUUGGGCCUAUAGUCGGUGUGGUUGUGGGUAGUAUUGGUGGUGUGCUGGUGUGUUUUACUGUACUCGUCCUGGUUGUGGCAUUGAUUGUCAAGAGAAAGAGGCAAAAUCUCUCAACGGAAACUAGUGAGAACCAGAAAGCCACGGCUAGCCCAUUGUACGAUGAAAUUACCACUAUUGCAACAGACAUUCAACUAGAGUCGAAUAGUGCUUAUGGACAGGUGGUCCGCCCUCCCAUGCAAUGAAUCCGACCAGGCCUAAGUAUAUAUGGUCAUGUGAGAAGAACUUGAUUAGAUCGUUUAAUUUCAAUGCUUGUUUUGAUAUUGUCACUUACAAUAAUGAUGUUGUUCAUUUAACUAUACAUACAAGAACCGUCAUACGUAUUCAUAAUUAUACAAUCCUGAGAGUUUCAAUGGAUUCCUUAGUGUUAGAGCACAUCAUGGUACAAGACUGCAUGUACUAUUUUGUAUCAAUCUGCCUCAGUCAUAAUUAUCAUUACAGUAGAACCUCGAUUAUCCAGACACCUUGGUUCCAGAAGCAGGCCGGAUAAGUGAAUAUGCCGGAUAAUCGAAUAGAUAAACCACACCUUGAUCCACCCACUUUAUUGAUAAACAGCAGUGCUACAU